GCUUGGAUAGCUCAGUUGGUUAGAGCUUGGUGCUGAUAACACCAAGGUUGCAGAUUCGAUUUACAGCUGCAUAUUCCUGCA
Non-coding RNA from Podarcis lilfordi (Lilford's wall lizard), 81 nucleotides. The record is from the annotation of a GenBank genome assembly. Lineage: Eukaryota; Metazoa; Chordata; Lepidosauria; Squamata; Lacertidae.